UACGUAGGGGGCAAGCGUUGUCCGGAAUCAUUGGGCGUAAAGCGCGUGUAGGCGGCUCGAUAAGUCCGCUCUGAAAGUCCGGGGCUCAACCCCGGGAGGCGGGUGGAUACUGUCGGGCUAGAGUCCGGAAGAGGCGGGUGGAAUUCCUGGUGUAGCGGUGAAAUGCGCAGAUAUCAGGAGGAACACCAAUGGCGAAGGCAGCCCGCUGGGACGGUACUGACGCUGAGGAGCGAAAGCGUGGGGAGCGAACAGG
Molecule: ribosomal RNA, 253 nt
Filed under: uncultured bacterium
Lineage: Bacteria
Description: partial 16S ribosomal RNA
Rfam family: Bacterial small subunit ribosomal RNA
Source: RNAcentral